RNAcentral lists this ribosomal RNA (253 nucleotides) under uncultured bacterium. RNAcentral describes it as "partial 16S ribosomal RNA". It matches the Rfam family "Bacterial small subunit ribosomal RNA", at positions 524 to 776 of the family's 1533-position model. The record is from RNAcentral.
UACGAAGGGGGCUAGCGUUGCUCGGAAUCACUGGGCGUAAAGCGCACGUAGGCGGCUUUGUAAGUUAGAGGUGAAAGCCCGGAGCUCAACUCCGGAAUUGCCUUUAAGACUGCAUCGCUCGAAUCAUGGAGAGGUGAGUGGAAUUCCGAGUGUAGAGGUGAAAUUCGUAGAUAUUCGGAAGAACACCAGUGGCGAAAGCGGCUUUCUGGACCACGCCUGACGCUCAGGUGCGACAGCUAGGGGAGCAAACGGG